RNAcentral lists this small nuclear RNA (107 nucleotides) under Heterocephalus glaber (naked mole-rat). The record is from RNAcentral. Lineage: Eukaryota; Metazoa; Chordata; Mammalia; Rodentia; Bathyergidae.
GUGCUCGCUUGGCAGCACAUAUACUAAAAUUGGAAUGAUACAGAGAAGAUCAGCAUGGCCCCCCGCGCAAGGAUGACAUGCAAAUUCGUGAAGCGUUCCACAUUUUU